AAUAGAUACCCGGGUAGUCCUAGCCGUAAACGAUGGGCACUAGGUAGGGGGCUCGCCGAUGGGCUCCCUGCCGUAGGGAAACCGUGAAGUGCCCCGCCUGGGGAGUAUGGUCGCAAGGCUGAAACUCAAAGGAAUUGACGGGGGCUCACACAAGCGGUGGAGCAUGUGGCUUAAUUCGAGGCUACGCGAAAAACCUUAUCCUGGGCUUGACAUGCAGGGAUUAGCCGGCGGAAACGUCGGUGACGCCGCAAGGUGGAACCUGUGCAGGUGCUGCAUGGCUGUCGCCAGCUCGUGCCGUGAGGUUGUUGGGUUAAGUCCCGUAACGAGCGAAACCCCUGUGACUAGUUGCCAGCACGUAACGGUGGGGACUCUAGUCAGACCGCCGGCGUCAAGCCGGAGGAAGGCGGGGACGACGUCAAGUCAUCAUGGCCCUUAUGCCCAGGGCUGCACACGUGCUACAAUGGGGCGGACAGAGCGUCGCCAGGCCGCAAGGCCGCGCUAAUCGCAAAAACCGUUCCUCAGUUCGGAUUGCGGGCUGCAACGUCCG
This 547-nucleotide ribosomal RNA is filed under the name uncultured bacterium. RNAcentral describes it as "bacterial SSU rRNA". It matches the Rfam family "Bacterial small subunit ribosomal RNA", at positions 777 to 1318 of the family's 1533-position model. The record is from RNAcentral.